AUGCCCAAUGGGGCGCAGGCACCGACUGAGGAGGAGGAAGGAAGUGGAGGUGAAAGUCAAGAGGAGUGGGAAUCGGAUGGCGAUGAGGGUGAUGAAGAUGGUGAUUCCGACGAGGAAGAGGAGGAGGAAUUCACGCCUCCCCGUUCUGAAAGGAGAUCCAAGCUUGUCCAUGACCCUGCAGUCGAACAUGGCAAGGGGACUGCGCCUGUUGUACAGUCGACCAAGCGUCCUCGGGCGACCUCUCCGGCACCGACUAAGAAAGCGCCGAAGCAAUCUCGAGUGGCGCCGUCAAAGCCGACGAAGGCCUUGCCGAAGAUGAAGAUGGCGAUUCCCACUAUUUCUGGGUAA
Molecule: ribosomal RNA, 348 nt
Filed under: Triticum aestivum (bread wheat)
Lineage: Eukaryota; Viridiplantae; Streptophyta; Magnoliopsida; Poales; Poaceae
Description: partial small subunit ribosomal RNA
Source: RNAcentral